This is a long non-coding RNA of Drosophila suzukii, 1079 nucleotides long. RefSeq lists it as uncharacterized. The record is from RefSeq and is a predicted model, not a curated record. Lineage: Eukaryota; Metazoa; Arthropoda; Insecta; Diptera; Drosophilidae.
CCCUAGUUUGUGGGCGGUUUGUUAGGUCGAUCGACAGCUGUUCGCAAGAACUAUACAUUUCAGUAGAAAUCUUUUUUCAGCACUAAAACUGUAGGAGCUAUAGUUUUGGGCGGCUUUUUCCGGGAUCACAGCGUUCACACGGGCAGAUCGACUUGGCUAGUGAUGCUGAUCAAGAAUAUGUAUGUUUAAUGGGGUCGGAGACGCUUACGUCUACCUGUUACAUACUUUUCCCCGAAUACAAUAUACCCUUUUACUUUACGAGUAACGGGUUAAGUAUAAGAAAGUUUGUAUUAAGCCUGUGUGACAUACAUAAUCUGCUUGUUGGUGGAACGUUGAUAAACUUGUUCGUUGAAAUGCGAAAUUGUAUGGAAAUUUCCAUACAAGUACAUGAAUGCAUUAUGUAGCGUCAGCUUCAUCCAAAAGUAAAACUCAGUAAAGUUUACAUACUUAGCUAUGUAUUUGUACAGAAUUUAUUCAUACAUAGUUAAUAGUAAUUUUGUACGUUUAACAAAGUUGUUAGUUAUUAUUACUAAAGAUAUUUCCAAACAAUAUUGCACCACUAUUAUCGUCAUACUCAUUAAUUCAAAUUCAUCAUUAGCGUUUGGCGGAACAAACCCACUGUUAAAUGCAGCUUCCAGUUGCUCCUCCAAACCCAUACUUGUGGCGAUUCCGUAAAUUAGGCGCAUUAAUAAAAGUCUAAUAAAGUUUGGUGUGUUUGUAUCUUUGCCUUUGUUAAUAGACAGUUUCUUAGGAUCUUCAAAAACAAGUUGGCUUUCUUUAUUAUUAGAAAUUGUGCUAAGCGGCAUUUCUUUAAUUAUAUUUUGACUUAAAGUUGGAAUACACGAAAUUAUAACUGUGACUACAGCAACCCAAAUAUGUAUGAGAUUCAUGUUACUAUGGUUAUUGUAACGUGCAGUAUACAUAUAUACAUACAUAUGUACUUUAAAAAUAACUGUGGAUGUAAUGACCCGAGCUUGUAAGUCGCAUUUACAUAUUAGGUUUCUCAACUUUGAAUAACAAAACAAGAACACAAGUAAUGUAUCUUUGGCUAUAAUUAUAAAAUAAAAAACUUGGACAUA